GUACGCAACAAGAAACAUUUUUUCAUCAUACUUAAAAAAACAUGGAUGACCAAGAUUGCAUUUUUCUUAAGUUUACACUAGAGCUUCUUUUCCAAUCACAGUUCCUACUUGACUAGACACACAAUCUUCUUUGUGAGUUAACUGUUGUUAUCCCAUAACUAUAAUAACACAGAUACUGGUGUUAAACUUGGGCAAAGAAGAAGACAUACAUCUCUGAGUCAAGUGACUCUUAAUCAAGCCAAAACCCCUCUCUUCAGAAAAAUGGGUCUUUUUCAACUUUUCCCAAUGGCUACAAUCCUUGUAUCACUUCAUUUCCUGAUAAUUUUCUAUGUUUCCAAUAUUCCCCUGGCCUUUGCUCAAAAUGAAAACCAAUUCAUCUACAAUGGAUUCCAUCCAGCAAAGCUGCAUCUUGAUGGCUCUGCUCAACUUCUUAGCAAUGGUCUGCUGCAGCUAACGAAUAUCAAGAACAUUUCAUCCCCCCAAGUUGGUCAUGUUUUCUACCAAUUUCCUUCAAAAUUCAACACAACUUCCUCAUGUUCAACUCUAUCUAUUUCAUUUUCUACAAACUUUGUAUUUGCCAUUGUUCCACAAGUGCCAAGUAGUGGUGGUGGUCAUGGCAUGACGUUCACCAUCAGUCCAUCGUGGAACUUUAUCCAAGCUGGAGGAAAUCAGUAUCUAGGACUCUUCAAUUCUUCAAAUGAUGGCCUUCUUGUGAACCACAUUUUGGCCAUUGAGCUUGAUACUAUUCUGAACCCAGAAUUUGGAGAUAUUGACAGCAACCAUGUGGGAAUAGAUGUGAAUAGUCUGAACUCAACUGAAUUAGCUCCUGCAAUGUAUUUUUCCAACAAAGAAGGGAAGAAUAAAAGCUUGGAGCUCACAAGUGGAAAUCCAAUGCAUCUUUGGAUAGACUACGAUGAAGCAGAAAAGUUACUAAAUGUAACACAAGCCCCAACCAGAAUCCCAAAACCAAACUGGCCUCUCAUGUCAAAACCUAUUGAUCUGUCUCAAUAUCUCUUGGAAUCUAUGUAUGUUGGUUUCUCUGCAACUACUGGUACCCGUGCUCCAAGUGACCACUAUAUUCUUGGAUGGAGCUUUAAUAGAAGUGUACAAGCACAAAGCCUUGAUGUUUCGAAGCUUCCUUCACUUCCUCGACAAAGGAAAACAAAAGAGAUACCCAGACUAAUGAUCAUGGUUUUUCUCAUAGCAGUGACGCUUGUGCUGAUAACAAUCACUAGAGUUGCUUACAUUAUAAGAAGGAAGAAAUAUGAAGAAAUACGUGAAGAUUGGGAAAGGGAGUAUGGUCCUCACCGGUUCAUCUAUAAGAAUCUCUACAAAGCAACCAAGGGUUUCUCAGACAAAGAGCUUCUUGGAGAAGGAGGUUUUGGAAAGGUUUAUAGAGGAAUACUUCCUUCUUCCAAUGUACAAAUUGCAGUCAAGAGAGUCUCCCAUAAUUCCAAACAAGGGAUGAAGGAAUUUGUAGCUGAGAUUAUUAGCAUGGGAAGACUGAGGCACAGGAACUUGGUCCAGCUCCUGGGAUAUUGCUGGCGAAGAGGAGAGCUCCUCUUGGUCUAUGAUUAUAUGUGCCAAUGGAAGCCUUGACAAGUUCUUAUAUAGCAAUGAAAAACCAAACCUUAGCUAGUUUCAACGAUUUCGAAUCAUCAAAGGUGUAGCAUCUGGCCUUCUUUACCUCCAUGAAGAAUGGGAACAGGUUGUUCUACACAGAGAUGUAAAAGCAAGCAAUGUUCUAUUAGAUGCUGAAUUGAAUGGAAGGCUAGGUGAUUUUGGCCUUGCCAAAUUAUAUGACCACAGUACGAAUCCCCAAACCACCCAUGUGGUUGGAACUGUAGGUUAUUUGGCUCCAGAGAUUAUUAGAACAAGAAGGGCAACCACUUGCACUGAUGUGUUUUCUUUUGGGGCUUUCAUGCUUGAGGUGGCAUGUGGAAAGUGGCCUGUAGGACUACAAGGACUGACUGAAGACAUAAUUUUGGAUGACUGGGUGUUUGAGUGUUGGAGAAGAGGAGCUAUCCUUGAUGCUAGUGAUCCUAGAUUGGAGGGUAAUUAUGUGGUGGAGGAAAUGGAAUUGGUUUUGAAAUUAGGCCUGCUUUGCUCACACACAGUGCCAACACAAGGCCUAGCAUAAGGCAAGUGAUGCAGUUUUUGGAUGGCAAUGCCAAUCUACCAGAAUUACCAGAUGGAAGUACUUUUUUGGGUACAUUUAAAGGUAAUGAAGAGCAUGAUUUCUUAUUGUCGCUUCCUUCAUCAUUUGGCAAGGGUUCUGCUGCGUCCUUGUCUAGCACUAAUUCAAUCCUCAUAAAUGUUCACUGAAUAAGUUUGUUUCAUGCUAUGGGUCAUAUAGACCAUGGAUUAAUGGUUGGGACCAAAUCAACUGGUGGCAAAUAGAAAGCCUACUGAUUGCUUGGGGGUGGAGAGGAGAAAAGAGUAAAUUUUAGUUAGUAGUCUACUUAUCCUCUAACCAGUACAAAAAUAAGAUUGAUUCUGAUGUAACAAGUUCUAUAGAUCAAUAUUUAAGUAGGGAAUUGGAGAAACUAGAUUAGGUUUCUCAUUAAAUUUCAGCUUACUAAAAGCCCAUAGCCAGCGAUUGCUAUCCUUUAAGAAGGCAUCAUCCAUGAAUAUAAAAAUCAUCUAUUUUUAAAUUAACUAGUCACUAACCUACACAAAUGUGCGGAAAAGUUUUGCAUGAAUGUAUGAUAUAUAUACACUUGAUGAAACAAUUUCACAAUUAUCGAAGUCAAAAUAAUCACUCUCUCAGGGAAUCAAAAGGUAAGAAAGGGAAAUUUAUUAUUCCUAAAUAACAUUUAUUUAUAAAAUGUAUUGCAUCAUCACAAAUAAAUUAUUCUUCAAUCCAUAUAUGAGCAUACAUUUGAUAGGAAGUAGGGAAAUGAGGGGAAAAAUGGCUAUUUAGCCUUAAUUUUGGAAUGUAGCCAAACAGUACCCUUUGAAACUUUGUAGCAAAAUACCCUUAUUUUAGAACUCAAUAUUGUUGAUGUUGAGUUUUGCCUGGACAUUAGCAAUGUCAAGUUAUAUGCAUAUUUUGUUACUUAGAUUUUUUUGGAAAUUUUGUGUAGAGUUCCACUUAAAAUAUGCAUAGAACUCGACAUUAGUAGGCAGAACUCGACAUUAGUAGGCAGAACUCGACAUUAGCAAUAUCGAGUUCUAAAACAUUGGUAAUUUGCUACAUAGUUUGAAAAAGAGGCUAUUUGGCUACAUAGUUCAAACAAUAAGGCUAAAUAGCCAUUUUCCCUUGAAUGAGGGAUGAUACUCCACUCCUUGUAAUUUGGGCAAUACUCGACUCUUUAAUAUGUCCUGUCACAUGUAAUGGUUAGCCACACACACAAGAAUUUUAUUUUUUGAUCUUUUUCCAAGCAACCAAACAACAAUGUUCAAAUAAAAGAAGCAUGAGAGAAACCAAAAAAACAAAAGUAGAAUUAAACACCAACAUAAGCAAAAGAAUAAAUAACCAAAAUAUAGUCAUGGAGAACAUGUCAUUGAUAUAUCAUAUAUAUCUUGUCUCAUACACCAAAAACAUUAGAUCAUUGCAUAGUUGAUUAUAGUUAUAGCAAUAAAGCAUGAUUACAUACAUUUACAAACAGUUUACUAAAUAGGAAUUGUUAAGCCAUGCCAUCUAGGUAACACUUCCAUUUAAGUUCUCAUCUCCAACCACCUUUAAAAUUCAGUGGUUACCUUUGCUUCUUACCUUUUUUUAUUCACUUACCAGCACCGCCAUGGACUGUCUAUAAAACUACUUUGUAGCAGAGCUUCUCUAGUUCUCCAAAACCUUUUACAUAUUGCUUACCGUCUCCAAACUUCUGGAUAUGUUUCUAAUUGGCUUUUUUAUUUUGCCAAGUUUUUGUUGAAGAC
RNA transcript from Quercus lobata, 3879 nucleotides. It is a transcript of the gene named L-type lectin-domain containing receptor kinase IV.1-like, with no coding region annotated. The record is from RefSeq and is a predicted model, not a curated record. Lineage: Eukaryota; Viridiplantae; Streptophyta; Magnoliopsida; Fagales; Fagaceae. The transcript has a single exon.